This 253-nucleotide ribosomal RNA is filed under the name uncultured bacterium. RNAcentral's name for it is "partial 16S ribosomal RNA". It matches the Rfam family "Bacterial small subunit ribosomal RNA", at positions 524 to 776 of the family's 1533-position model. The record is from RNAcentral.
UACGUAGGGUGCGAGCGUUAAUCGGAAUUACUGGGCGUAAAGCGUGCGCAGGCGGUUCGCUGUGUCCGAUGUGAAAUCCCCGGGCUCAACCCGGGAACUGCGUCCGAAACUGGCAGGCUCGAAUUCGGGAGAGGGAUGCGGAAUUCCAGGUGUAGCGGUGAAAUGCGUAGAUAUCUGGAGGAACACCGGUGGCGAAGGCGGCAUCCUGGACCGGGAUUGACACUGAGGCGCGAAAGCCAGGGGAGCAAACGGG